Molecule: non-coding RNA, 1277 nt
Organism: Onthophagus taurus
Lineage: Eukaryota; Metazoa; Arthropoda; Insecta; Coleoptera; Scarabaeidae
Source: RefSeq, a predicted model, not a curated record
CCUGUUAAUUUUUCUAAUUGUUACCAAAUUUGACAGAUAUAGAAAAAAAUUGAUUGUUGCAAAUAUAUUUAUGAAGUUAAUCUUAAUCAAUGAUAUUCUCAGGAACAUCCAGCUGUUAGCAAAAUCGUCCUUUUGACACUCUUUUUUCAUUAAGUUACUAAAGCUUAAAUCUGUACCGUUUUGUGAUGAUGCAUCGUUCUGGAUAAAAGCAGCAAUAUGUGUUGAGGACUAAAACUCCAAUAACGUCGAUUUCUUAUCCUGUACCUUCACCUUUAAUGACUAUUAACCCAUUAUAGGGUGUUUGCUAGACAUCCUUUGGAUAGGUUUGGAAAUUAAGAACGGAAUAUCUUUAUUAACUAAGAGAUAAUACUUAUAUUAGUUAAUGUUGAACCAAGGGGUAUGUAGUAAAAUUUUUUCAGAUAACUUGCAAUGCUAUGGACAAUUUUUUAAAGUCAAAUAGGAUCAUGACAUUGAUUAAAUCGUUGUAAAUCUUAUGCAAAUAUUGACUAAGAGAUAACACUUAAUCCUCUCCAAAAGAUUGAAACGAAAGACUUAUCGUUGCUUUUAUUCCUUAAUGGUGAACCAAGGAGUAUGUACACAAGCAGUAACAUCAUUUCAAACUACUUUCACUGUUAUGGACAACUUUAGAAAGUCAAAUAGGAUCAUGACAUUGAUUAAAUCUUAUGUAAAACAUUAUUAUGGACAACCAAGAGUUAAAUCCGAUUGAAAUGAGAUGAAAUCUUUUGCCAAAACGAUCAAAAAUGAGAAUUUUAAACCCAUUAUAUUAGAAUCGUAAAAUCUAAAAAUAUAUGUGACGUAAUAUAAACUGUGGCCAAAAUCCAAAUUUAUAGUGUAGCCAAAAACGGGAUUUUUUUCAUACUUUCUUCUCAAAUUUCUUCGAAAUAAAUUUAAAUGUUUUUGGCGUGAUCCAGUAGUACUUAAGUAAAAAGAUAAAAAAUAAGUUUUUUUAAAAAGAAUCGGCGUGAAUAUGGAAUUACGUGAAGUGCUCAAGCUUUUGCACGGGCAAUUAGACAUAUUCGAGUAGUCUUGUCUUUCAAAACACAUUUAUUCAAGUAUAAUUCAUGUAAUAAUAAACAGUCGCCUUAUUUACAAAUUUUUCGCUAACUAGACACGAGUUUCCACUGGACAAAGAAGUUACAAACUAAUUGUAAGAAGUAGUUUUUACACUUAUAGAAAAUAAAUGAAUAAAUUUAAUUAAUAUUUAUCAAUCCCACUUCGUCACCGAAGUCGCCGCUGAGUAUGGCGUUGAUUAUAUA